RNAcentral lists this ribosomal RNA (330 nucleotides) under uncultured bacterium. RNAcentral's name for it is "bacterial SSU rRNA". It matches the Rfam family "Bacterial small subunit ribosomal RNA", at positions 570 to 898 of the family's 1533-position model. The record is from RNAcentral.
CGUAGACGGAUCGCCGCGUCGAGUGCUGAAAUCCCCCGGCUCAACCGGGGAAGUGGCCUCGAUACGGGCGGCCUCGAGGCGAGGAGGGGAACCCGGAACGUCCGGUGGAGCGGUGAAAUGCGUUGAGAUCGGACGGAACGCCGACGGCGAAAGCGGGGUCCUGGACUCGUACUGACGUUGAGGCGCGAAAGCCAGGGGAGCGAACGGGAUUAGAUACCCCGGUAGUCCUGGCCGUAAACGAUGGGGACUGGGUAGGGGCUCGCCGAUGGGCUCUCUGCCGUAGCGAAAGCGUGAAGUGCCCCGCCUGGGGAGUAUGGUCGCAAGGCUGAA